GGGGGCGAUUUGGCUUCGACGGGGACGGAGAAGCUAAGAUUGCGUGCCGAGGUCCCAGAGCCUCGUAAAAACUUUGGGAAACUUUCAAUCGCCAACAAUACAUACGCACUGGCUGCCUAAUUAGGCGGCCCGCUGGGUCCGGUGGAGCCUGCGCCGCCGGUUCUGGUGUCAUCUAUAGCAGGCUGGCCAACAGCUUUCGUUCAGGGGCUGAAGGCGAGACCUAAUGAACUGGCCUGCUGCGGAUCCUGUCAGUUGGAGCUGCAGCGGGCGAGAUUAAACAACUGACUACGCACGUAGUGAUCCAGUGGAACUGUUUUCGGACGCGGGUUCGAGUCCCGCCGCCUCCACCA
This 350-nucleotide transfer-messenger RNA is filed under the name Candidatus Latescibacterota. RNAcentral describes it as "SICG01 sp009691525 Standard tmRNA". It matches the Rfam family "transfer-messenger RNA". Rfam says of the family: Bacterial tmRNA, also known as 10Sa RNA or SsrA, is named for its dual tRNA and mRNA-like properties. Its role is to liberate the mRNA from a stalled ribosome. RNAcentral also lists the same sequence under 1 other name. Lineage: Bacteria; Pseudomonadati. The record is from RNAcentral.